UCCAGGUUAGCUCAGUUGGUAGAGUGCUCCAAUGGAAAUGGAGAGGUCUCUCGUUCGAUACCGAGACCUGGUG
This 73-nucleotide transfer RNA is filed under the name Ixodes scapularis (black-legged tick). Its description in RNAcentral is "tRNA-Ser for anticodon GGA". It matches the Rfam family "tRNA". Rfam says of the family: Transfer RNA (tRNA) molecules are approximately 80 nucleotides in length. Their secondary structure includes four short double-helical elements and three loops (D, anti-codon, and T loops). The record is from RNAcentral. Lineage: Eukaryota; Metazoa; Arthropoda; Arachnida; Ixodida; Ixodidae.